This 433-nucleotide ribosomal RNA is filed under the name uncultured bacterium. Its description in RNAcentral is "partial 16S ribosomal RNA". It matches the Rfam family "Bacterial small subunit ribosomal RNA", at positions 29 to 507 of the family's 1533-position model. The record is from RNAcentral.
AACGAACGCUGGCGGCAUGCCUAACACAUGCAAGUCGAACGAGACCUUCGGGUCUAGUGGCGCACGGGUGCGUAACGCGUGGGAACCUGCCCUUAGGUUCGGAAUAACUCCCCGAAAGGGGUGCUAAUACCGGAUAAUGUCUUCGGACCAAAGAUUUAUCGCCUUUGGAUGGGCCCGCGUUGGAUUAGCUAGUUGGUAGGGUAAAAGCCUACCAAGGCGUCGAUCCAUAGCUGGUCUGAGAGGAUGAUCAGCCACACUGGGACUGAGACACGGCCCAGACUCCUACGGGAGGCAGCAGUGGGGAAUAUUGGAAAAUGGGCGAAAGCCUGAUCCAGCAAUGCCGCGUGAGUGAUGAAGGCCUUAGGGUUGUAAAGCUCUUUUACCCGGGAUGAUAAUGACAGUACCGGGAGAAUAAGCUCCGGCUAACUCCGUG